This 101-nucleotide Y RNA is filed under the name Propithecus coquereli (Coquerel's sifaka). RNAcentral's name for it is "Y RNA (ENSPCOG00000006035.1)". It matches the Rfam family "Y RNA". Rfam says of the family: Y RNAs are components of the Ro ribonucleoprotein particle (Ro RNP), in association with Ro60 and La proteins. The Y RNAs and Ro60 and La proteins are well conserved, but the function of the Ro RNP is not known. In humans the RNA component can be one of four small RNAs -- hY1, hY3, hY4 and hY5. Lineage: Eukaryota; Metazoa; Chordata; Mammalia; Primates; Indriidae. The record is from Rfam by way of RNAcentral.
GGCUGGUCCAAGUGCAGUGGUGUUUACAACUAAUUGAUCACAACCAGUUACAGAUUCCUUUCUUCCUCCUCCACUCCCAUGGUUCACUUGAGUAGCCUUAA